AGCAGCAUAGCUCAGUGGAAAGAGCAUGGGCUUGAGAGUCAGAGGUCAUGGGUUCGAAUCCUGGCUCUGCUA
Ornithorhynchus anatinus (platypus) is the source of this 72-nucleotide non-coding RNA. Lineage: Eukaryota; Metazoa; Chordata; Mammalia; Monotremata; Ornithorhynchidae. The record is from Rfam.